CCCUUAGACGUUCUGGGCCGCACGCGCGCUACACUGACCAGUGCAACAAGCAUCCGUCCUUGGCCGACAGGCCCGGGCAAUCUUUGAACGCUGGUCGUGAUGGGGAUAGACUUUUGCAAUUUUUGGUCUUCAACGAGGAAUUCCUAGUAAACGCAAGUCAUCAACUUGCAUUGAUUACAUCCCUGCCCUUUGUACACACCGCCCGUCGCACCUACCGAUUGAAUGGUCCGGUGAAGCCUCCGGAUUGGCGCGCACCUCGGUGCCGCCGAGAAGUUGGCUAAACCUUACCAUUUAGAGGAAGGUGAAGUCGUAACA
RNAcentral lists this ribosomal RNA (315 nucleotides) under uncultured eukaryote. RNAcentral describes it as "partial 18S ribosomal RNA". It matches the Rfam family "Eukaryotic small subunit ribosomal RNA", at positions 1470 to 1796 of the family's 1831-position model. The record is from RNAcentral.